UAGGAUAGAGGCCUACCAUGGUGGUGACGGGUGACGGAGAAUUAGGGUUCGAUUCCGGAGAGGGAGCCUGAGAAACGGCUACCACAUCCAAGGAUGGCAGCAGGCGCGCAAAUUACCCAAUCCCGACACGGGGAGGUAGUGACAAUAAAUAACAAUACGGGGUUCUUUAGGAUCUCGUAGUUGGAAUGAGUACAAUUUAAAUCUCUUAACGAGGAACAAUUGGAGGGCAAGUCUGGUGCCAGCAGCCGCGGUAAUUCCAGCUCCAAUAGCGUAUAUUAAAGUUGUUGCAGUUAAAAAGCUCGUAGUUGAAUUUCGGGGUUAGUAGGUUGGUCAUGCCUCUGGUAUGUACUGGUCUCACUGAUUCCUCCUUCCUUAUGAACCGUAAUGCCAUUAAUUUGGUGUUGCGGGGAAUUUGGACUGUUACUUUGAAAAAAUUAGAGUGUUUAAAGCAAGCUAACGCUUGAAUACAUUAGCAUGGAAUAAUGAAAUAGGACGUUCGAUCUUAUUUUGUUGGUUUCUAGGAUUGACGUAAUGAUUAAUAGGGAUAGUUGGGGGCAUUAGUAUUCAAUUGUCAGAGGUGAAAUUCUUGGAUUUAUUGAAGACUAACUACUGCGAAAGCAUUUGCCAAGGAUGUUUUCAUUAAUCAAGAACGAAAGUUAGGGGAUCGAAGACGAUCAGAUACCGUCGUAGUCUUAACCAUAAACUAUGCCGACUAGGGAUCGGAUG
Molecule: ribosomal RNA, 726 nt
Filed under: uncultured fungus
Lineage: Eukaryota; Fungi
Description: SSU rRNA
Rfam family: Eukaryotic small subunit ribosomal RNA
Source: RNAcentral